ACUUCUUACCCUCAGGUCCUGUUCAGGUUUCCUCCACCAGGGACUCAGGGAAAGGCUAAAUUCAGUUCCCAAAGUGUAAAACACUGCAGGCUUGUAGUAUCAUCUCUGCAUCAUAUUCUUUAAUAAAAUAAAGCUAGAGGAUUGCAAUAAAGGUAACCUCCGAUAAUGAAAAAUAUUUUUAUUAAAGAAAAGUACCACAUGUAAAUAACCCAAUUGUAUACUGUAUUAUUUAGAUUCAAGGAUUACUGCACAAUUACAAAAUAGGAAUGCCAUCUUUGUUCCCUAUUAGUAUGUAAAGAGAAAAAUAUUAGUAGUUUUUAUAAAAACAUUUGAAGAAGUUGAUCAUUUUUACCUUUAAUAGUUAUCUCCUUUAGUUGCUAACAUUUGUCUUUGUCUUUUACACAGGGGUAAAAUAAAAUAUCUAGGACUUAUGGUAAAGUGGUGUCCCCACCAGAAGAAUUGAUGCCAUAUUUCGUACAUAUGCCAUCACUUUCUAAUUAGUGGGGACUAAACUGCCAGUAAUGCCCACCGAGACUAACAUCUGGGACUCUUAUCAAUUCAAUGAGUCUCUUCACAGCUUUAACCUGCAGAGCUCCACACUUAUCCUUCUAUUGUGCAAUGAAGUGCAACACAGCCAUAUUGAUUUGAAGUGAAUUCUACAGCAGGGUCCUUACUAUUAACCAUAGGAGCAUUGACAGCUGCAGGAGUUUUAGUUUCACCGCAGGCCACUGCCUCAUUGAUGGUCAUAGUAGAACCCUAUGUACUGUUAUUAUACGUUCCUACUUGAUUCAUUCUAAAGUGCUAAAACUGUGUCCGGAAGAAACCAACAGUAAUGAGCAUCAUGAAUAGUCAAGAAGAAUAUGUCUGGCUUGAUUUGGUCAUCAAAAAAGAGACACUCUUCAAACUUUUUAUACACAUUAUCUGUUGGUAAGGUCCCACCGUUCCUGGAGGGAGUGGAGAUUUAUAUGAUGCAGCCAAGGAAUAGACCCUUGGUCUUGCCACAAGAGGGCAUAAAAGAGGCUUCUUUCUGGUAGUGUACCUCAAGAGGUGUUGUGAACAAGAAAUCUGGACUGCCACAUACUGGAACCAUAUUCAAGUUCUGUUUAGAAUUUGACAAUGGUCGGGUUCAAGUAUGGAGGCCUUGUGAUUUCUGUUCCAGGGACAUUCCCAAGUGCACCACAUGAGGGGCUAGAACAAAAAAAAAAAAAUAGUAAAAUACUACAACACUUCAUAAAACAUCAUUUGGAUCUCCUCAUUGGGACUAUAUAGAACAUUUAUAAUAUUCAAUAUUAGCAAUUCGCCCAUAUAUUAUACAGUAAUGUAACAAAGUACUUUUUUGGUCAGAAGGAAUCACACAUGCAUGCGACAGGCAGUAGGAACAAGAUGUUGUGGCAAUCGUGAAGUUAUUUGACAUCAGAUGUGGGCAUAGUUUUGUCCGCAUGCAAUGAUCGCAAUAUUAUACCUGCCCUCUCUCGUCUCAUAAGGUUUGAUACAUUUGGUGAUGCUGAAUGCCUUUUAAAUACUUAAUACAUCGCUGUUUUCUUGUGCCAUUAAGCAAUUGGAGAAGUGGUGCUGAGCUGUAGGGGCACGCCUCCUCCCUCCCAAGCCAAUUUAUGCCCUGCAUGACUGACAUACAAGCCUCUGCUGGAAGCAUGGAGCCCUAUACGUUAAUUCGUGAAAGCAGGGAGGAAGAAGGCAUCCUGCCUCUCCAACUGUUUUGGAGAGAAAGCAGCAAUUUUGUAAGUGUAUACAAUUCAGAAGACCUAAAGAUAUAGUUUAUUUAAUCCCCUUGUGACUUCUCUGUCAGUAUCUGCAGCUCCGUACCGGAUAUGGAGCUGACAGAUUCCCUUUAAGUGAAUGUAGACAAUCUGUUUUUGCUGAACACAUGUGACCUGUCUAGCAUGCUGAUAUAAUAUAUUAUUUCUAAUAAUAAAAAAAAG
Molecule: long non-coding RNA, 1940 nt
Organism: Hyla sarda
Lineage: Eukaryota; Metazoa; Chordata; Amphibia; Anura; Hylidae
Exons: 7
Source: RefSeq, a predicted model, not a curated record